Non-coding RNA from Paramuricea clavata, 286 nucleotides. The record is from the annotation of a GenBank genome assembly. Lineage: Eukaryota; Metazoa; Cnidaria; Anthozoa; Malacalcyonacea; Plexauridae.
GUCGGUUUAAAUGUUAGAAUUUUCUUCUUUAAACUUUAAUGUUGUCGUCACUACAUCUGGAAAACCACGUAAGAACAAAUUAAAAGUAUUUAAAAAAGACCAGGUUGUUUAAAAAUCCUAAACGAAUGCUAAAAAUCGUCAAAACAUUCUGGUGUCUGAGCCAGAGUGUCAUCGAAUUGCGAUGUAAUGUAAACAGAAAUUAUAGCAAGUUGAUGUCAGUCAGCUUAGAUGGUCCAAGCCAAAAUUAUAUCGCAUUUGAAGUUUCAAACUGAGUUAAAAAUAGUGG